Molecule: ribosomal RNA, 84 nt
Filed under: Streptococcus mitis
Lineage: Bacteria; Bacillati; Bacillota; Bacilli; Lactobacillales; Streptococcaceae
Also listed under: 1 other name
Source: RNAcentral
AGUGACGAUAGCCUAGGAGAUACACCUGUACCCAUGCCGAACACAGAAGUUAAGCCCUAGAACGCCGGAAGUAGUUGGGGGUUG